This 268-nucleotide ribosomal RNA is filed under the name Paramoeba aestuarina. RNAcentral describes it as "partial Bacterial small subunit ribosomal RNA". It matches the Rfam family "Bacterial small subunit ribosomal RNA", at positions 21 to 317 of the family's 1533-position model. The record is from RNAcentral. Lineage: Eukaryota; Discosea; Flabellinia; Dactylopodida; Paramoebidae.
GGCUCAGAACGAACGCUGGCGGCAUGCCUAACACAUGCAAGUCGAACGAGACCUUCGGGUCUAGUGGCGCACGGGUGCGUAACGCGUGGGAACCUGCCCUUAGGUUCGGAAUAACAGUGAGAAAUCGCUGCUAAUACCGGAUAAUGUCUUCGGACCAAAGAUUUAUCGCCUAUGGAUGGGCCCGCGUAGGAUUAGCUAGUUGGUGAGGUAAUGGCUCACCAAGGCGACGAUCCUUAGCUGGUCUUAGAGGAUGAUCAGCCACACUGGG